GCUGAAGUGGUGGAACUGGUAGACACGCAGGACUUAAAAUCCUGUGCCCUCAACAGGCGUGCGGGUUCGAUUCCCGCCUUCAGUA
RNAcentral lists this transfer RNA (85 nucleotides) under Pedobacter zeaxanthinifaciens. RNAcentral describes it as "Nubsella zeaxanthinifaciens tRNA-Leu". It matches the Rfam family "tRNA". Rfam says of the family: Transfer RNA (tRNA) molecules are approximately 80 nucleotides in length. The record is from RNAcentral. Lineage: Bacteria; Pseudomonadati; Bacteroidota; Sphingobacteriia; Sphingobacteriales; Sphingobacteriaceae. RNAcentral also lists the same sequence under 8 other names.